AAGUCAUAACAAGGUUUCCGUAGGUGAACCUGCGGAAGGAUCAUUAGAGAUGCCGAAAGGCUUUUCCAAACACCUGUGCACCGGCUCUGAAGCCCGAGAGGGUCGACGGCCACUUUACACACAAACUCAUGUCAUGAACGUAACAUAUCAUAAUCAAAAACAACUUUCAACAACGGAUCUCUUGGCUCUC
This 190-nucleotide unclassified non-coding RNA is filed under the name Tremella sp. Its description in RNAcentral is "partial internal transcribed spacer region". The stretch from base 1 to 46 matches the Rfam family "Eukaryotic small subunit ribosomal RNA", at positions 1786 to 1831 of the family's 1831-position model. The record is from RNAcentral. Lineage: Eukaryota; Fungi; Basidiomycota; Tremellomycetes; Tremellales; Tremellaceae.